Molecule: transfer RNA, 84 nt
Rfam family: tRNA
About the family: Transfer RNA (tRNA) molecules are approximately 80 nucleotides in length. Their secondary structure includes four short double-helical elements and three loops (D, anti-codon, and T loops).
Source: Rfam
GCGAGGGUAGCCAAGCAGGCCAACGGCGGUGGGCUUAAGACCCGCUCCCGUAGGGGUCCCUGGGUUCAAAUCCCAGCCCUCGCA